UUAACUAUUAUAUAGUUCUCAGACGACAUGUACAAACAGAGUUUAGGGUCCUCUGGCGAGCACUCACCAGCUAGAAGCCGGUGGCCGGAGCGGCUCGCCAAAGCAACAAAGGUAUAAUUAACAUAGGGUUGGAGAGUCACCCUCGCGGGCGAUGUUCUCUGUAAUGAUCCCUCCGCAGGUUCACCUACGGAGA
This 193-nucleotide unclassified non-coding RNA is filed under the name uncultured fungus. RNAcentral describes it as "sequence contains ITS1". The record is from RNAcentral. Lineage: Eukaryota; Fungi.